Molecule: long non-coding RNA, 293 nt
Organism: Helianthus annuus (common sunflower)
Lineage: Eukaryota; Viridiplantae; Streptophyta; Magnoliopsida; Asterales; Asteraceae
Exons: 2
Source: RefSeq, a predicted model, not a curated record
CUAAAUCAAGAAUUCUAAAAGGACACUAAGUGUUCCAACCAUCUUCUCUCAACCUCUCUACUUCUCUCAAAUCUUCAAAGCAAGGAAGAGAACUCUAAGAGAUCUAAAAGAAAACACUAAGUGUUUUGAAGGAAGCUUUGAAGCUCCAACCUCUAACUCUUCACAGAAUCACCAAAGGAAACUUUGCAAAACUGUUUUGAGAUGAUGUUGAUGAUGCAUGGAACAUAGUAGGAUGCUUAGAUACACAUUUAAAAUUUUGUAUUCUUAUUGUAUUGUCAUUCUUGUAUUUCAAG